CAAAAACAUUUUUAUUAGAUUAAAUUAAUAAUAAAGUCUGCUCAAUGAAAAUUAAAUAGCCGCUCUAGUGCUAAGGUAGUAUAAUAAUUUGUCUUUUAAUUAAAGAAUACAACAAAAGACUUAACAUUUUAAAUAAUUUUUUAUUAAAAAUUAUUUAAAUUAUAUUAAUUGUAAAAAGACAAUUAUAUUAAAGAAAGACGAUAAGACCCUAUCGAACUUAACUUUAGUUUAACUGGGGCAGUUAAUUAAUUAUUACUUUAAUAUAAUUAAAUAUAAAAAUUGACCUAAUAUAAUUAAUAAAAUAAUUAAGUUACCGUAGGGAUAACAGCGUAAUAAAAUUUUUAAGACCUUAUUUUAAAUAAAGAUUACGACCUCGAUGUUGAUUUAAUAACCUAACACACGCAAUAGUCAGAAAAGGAAGUCUGUUCGACUUUUAAAAAAUUAC
Molecule: ribosomal RNA, 445 nt
Filed under: Trochosa sp. TROB17
Lineage: Eukaryota; Metazoa; Arthropoda; Arachnida; Araneae; Lycosidae
Description: partial large subunit ribosomal RNA
Source: RNAcentral